GUGGUGGCAUUUGGCACCAUUGUGCUGGUUUCUAUUGGAGUAUGAAAUGCUUCAUCUGCAGGUAGGUUCUAGAACCUGCUGAGACAGAAUACUAACUCAGGUAGUCAGUGUAGGAGCAUGGGCUGUGAUGCAUCCUUUGAUAGGGCUAUUGAUUAACAUUUGAGGUUUAAGGGCUCCAGGAAGUAACAUCCCCACAGGCCUUGUUUACUGUAAGGAGUGUACCUAUGCCCGGAUGGACAUUAAUCUCUAACCCCUGUGAUUCAGUCUAUGGGAAAAGAAGGGCAAAGAAACCCUGAGACUUACGGGACAUUUCCACCCCUGUAUCAGUCCUAUUGGACAAGAAGUGAUACAGGUAACUGGGCAAGCCAAUAGGAGAAAACCACAUCUUUCCGGACCCCAUGUUGGUAACCCCCAUCUUCAAGGGAUAAAAACCCCUAUAGGACAAUAGUGUGGGGGACUCUUCUUCCCCUUCCCAGCUGUCCUGGAUGUUGUUUGCUUUGCUGUAAUAAAGAGUUUGCUUCCUUGCUGCCUGUGUGUUCGUGAAGUUCAUUCUUUGGCUCUGCGAACAAGAACCCGGAUUCCGGUGACAUCUUUCCAGCAUCACCGGGACAAUUAGCUUUUACGACCCUGGUUUUUCCAAACAUCAUUUCUGUUCUGGAGUCCUGGAGCCUGGGGGCCCUGGCUGUUUAUGGAGCUGGCUCACUCCCUGAGUAGUGACCCCCGACAACUUCACCAGCCAGCACAACCCUAUCUCCUCUCUGCAUCCGCAGUGCCAGGAGAUGUUCUAGGUCCCACCCUGCCCCUCGGUGUGGGACCUGGGGGAUCAGCAGCAUUCUCUCAAGUGGAACAGUGUGUCUCUGGAACAAGGUCCCGCCUUCUGAGUAUGUUGCUUAUGAGUCUUGGUUCUUCACAUGUAAAUGGGAUCUUUUCAUUUUUAUAAAAUUUUCUCCUAAAAUUUAUUAAAAUAAAUGUUUCCGGUAAGGAUACA
This 988-nucleotide long non-coding RNA is filed under the name Sus scrofa (pig). RNAcentral describes it as "lncRNA (ENSSSCG00030058136.1)". Lineage: Eukaryota; Metazoa; Chordata; Mammalia; Artiodactyla; Suidae. The record is from RNAcentral.